GCUACCAAGCAUAGGAACUGGAUUUGACUGUGAUUCUUUCUGCAGUGGCAAUGUUUGGGUACCCGCAACAACAGCAGACAGAUUUAUAUCUGAGGAUGCAAGCGACUUAUUCAAAUUGCCAAAUUGGAUGUCAGUGCCUAUUGCCUGGCUGCUGGAUUUUAACUGAUUAUAAACAGGAUUUCUGCUAAGGUCAACAGAGGCAUCUUCUAUGCGAAAUCCCAGUGAUUGUUCAAGGGUUCCAAAAUCUGCAAUUCGAGAUCGUAUACUAUUUCCUUCGGUGCCCAUGGUAUUGGAAGUGGGUAUUGGAGGAACGAAACUCGGCAUCUCCGUUACAGCAUUAUUAUCAUUUUGCCCACUAACAUUCACCCUUCUAGUACCCAUGAAUCACCAUCGCCGCCGCCGCCGCCGCCACAAGCAACUCCACCAAAUUUAUUAAACCAAGCAGACCCUUAUCAAAACCAACAAAAUCCCACUACCCAGAUAUACCCACUCCGCAAAAUACAAAUGAAAGAAUCACCGCAGCACCUCCAGUUCCGCAGAAUUGCCGAGCCAAAUACAACAACCCAAUCCAGAACACAAACCAAGUCACAAAACAAACCUUAAAACUUUAGCAACAAGAAAAAUAUCAUAGCCACCAAGGUUGUCCAUAACCCAAAGACAAGUAAGACAAACUGAACAAAGAAACUCUAUAGAACUCAAGAAACUUGUACCAAAGCUACCCACUAACGACAAAC
This 734-nucleotide unclassified non-coding RNA is filed under the name Hevea brasiliensis (rubber tree). The record is from RNAcentral. Lineage: Eukaryota; Viridiplantae; Streptophyta; Magnoliopsida; Malpighiales; Euphorbiaceae.